This 99-nucleotide non-coding RNA is filed under the name Chromera velia. The record is from RNAcentral. Lineage: Eukaryota; Chromeraceae.
AAGAGAGAGAUUAUGACACAAAGACAGAAAGAGAAAGAAGGACAAAUAUUUUUCUCUCUUGCGUGUUCUUAGUCUUCUCUGAUCUCCUUCUACCCCUCC